Molecule: ribosomal RNA, 440 nt
Filed under: uncultured bacterium
Lineage: Bacteria
Description: partial 16S ribosomal RNA
Rfam family: Bacterial small subunit ribosomal RNA
Source: RNAcentral
CCUACGGGUGGCAGCAGUGGGGAAUAUUGCACAAUGGGGGAAACCCUGAUGCAGCGACGCCGCGUGGAGGAUGAAGGUUUUCGGAUUGUAAACUCCUUUUGUUAGGGAAGAUAAUGACGGUAUCUGACGAAUAAGCACCGGCUAACUCCGUGCCAGCAGCCGCGGUAAUACGUAGGGUGCAAGCGUUACUCGGAUUCACUGGGCGUAAAGAGCGCGUAGGCGGGAUAGCAAGUCAGAUGUGAAAUCCUAUGGCUUAACCAUAGAACUGCAUUUGAAACUGUUCUUCUAGAGUAUGGGAGAGGUAGGUGGAAUUCCUGGUGUAGGGGUAAAAUCCGUAGAGAUUAAGAGGAAGACUCAUUGCGAAGGCGACCUGCUAGAACAUAACUGACGCUGAUGCGCGAAAGCGUGGGGAGCAAACAGGAUUAGAUACCCUGGUAGUC